RNAcentral lists this ribosomal RNA (384 nucleotides) under Triticum aestivum (bread wheat). RNAcentral describes it as "partial small subunit ribosomal RNA". Lineage: Eukaryota; Viridiplantae; Streptophyta; Magnoliopsida; Poales; Poaceae. The record is from RNAcentral.
AUGCAAAACUGUACCGUGCUAGCUAUUUAUCUGUCUUUUUUGUGUCCUUGUGUUUCAUUAAGGUGUCCAGCGGACAUUUAUGACCGCUUCUGGGCAAGGAAAUCCAAUUCCUACCCCGCGGUGAACCUGAACACUACCAAUAAAGUGGAGAGCCUCCCUGGCAGCAACUUCAAUAUACCGUCGGUCAUAAUGCAGAAUGCCGUGACCGUAGACAUGAACUUCUCCAGGUCCAGGACAAUCCUCUCCCUGGAAGCAACUUCUAAUCUAGACACCAACAGCCUGCAGCUUCUCCCAAUCUUUCACUUUGCCGAGAUCAAUGGGAGCAACCCGAACAGGAAGUUUGACAUCUACAGCGAUCACGAAUUGCUGUUCUCAGACUCCUGA